CAUACACAUCUGAGAUGGCAGAAGGGUGAGUAAAUGAUGAGAGAAAUUUCAUUUUUGGGUAAACUGGUGUAAACGUAGACUGUAACCUGUACUACACUAGAUGGCGAUGGGCGCCUUUGUCUUGCAAAACUCCACUUUAUAUACGAGAAGACAAAUUUACACAUGACGUGAGAAACAUUCGGGUGAUGAUGUAUUGGCAUAGACUUAAAAUGAUGAUAUCGUAGGGAGACUUUUUGUGAAGUUCGCAUGACAUGAUUGAAAACGAGCAUGUUUUGUAUUUGACCUCAGCAGUAAGAGCAUAUUCUGGGUCGUUGUUUACAUAAUUCCAUGACUUGGGUCGAAUUCUAAUAUCAUUUUAUUCAUUUCAAGUCAAACUAAUUUUAACAUGAAUCUCAGCGUGACUAUUCUAACAAGCGUUCGUCUGUAUCGGAAUAAGGCGACUCUCUUUCACUGCAGAAGACUGUCAAGCACUGUUCCCAUUUCAUCUGAUCAACCCCAGUCCAGCACAUGUCAGGAACACAAGAGAACCCUUAAAGAUCUGCCCUUCUCUUCCCCGGGCAGGGCAGUCAGUUCGUCGGCAUGGGAAGAGGACUUUUGAAAUAUGGGAAUGUCAAAGAGAUGUUUUGUGUAGCACAGAAGGUUCUGGGUUAUGAUCUGCUGUCUCUGUGCUUAAAUGGACACGAGAAAGAUCUAAUGAAGACUGUUCAUUGCCAGCUAGCUGUGUUUGUCUGCUCACUGGUUGCUGUGGAAAGACUGAACCACGAAAAUCCUGCUGUAAGUGAUCCAUAAGAUCAGUCCAAAGCUUAUCUAUUAGUAAUAUCAUUGGAUAGUGACAGUGACAUAAAUGUAUCAGGAUAUAAAUGCACUCAUGUGGUCAAUACUAACUGAAAAUCCAUUGACCCCUCUGGCUAUUGAGAGCUGUGUGGCUGCUGCAGGUUUCAGUGUUGGGGAAUUUGCUGGUCUUCUCUGGUGCAAUGGACUUUGCUGAAGCUCUGUUUACUGUAAAAGUGAGGGCAGAGGCAAUGCAGAAGGCCUCCGACCAAGUGGUAUCCAAGAGCCUGUGUGCACCAUUGCAAAUACCUCUUUCCAUAUGGUAGAGUAAUAGCUGGCCACAAAGAAGCUUUGGAUUUCCUUCAAAAGAACUCCAGAGAGUUGAACUUCAUCAGAACUCGACUGCUGCCAGUUAGUGGGGCCUUUCACACCCCACUGAUGAAGCUGGCGGAGGAACCCCUGAGAGACGUCCUCAGGCAGAUAGACGUACGGCGCCCUGAGAUCGCUGUACACUCCAAUGUGGAUGGAAAGCGUUACAUGCAUGACAAGCACAUUCGUAAACAGCUGGCCAAACAGCUGGUGUCUCCAGUGAAAUGGGAGCAGACGCUGCAUGAGAUUUAUGAAAGAGCCCAGGGACAGGAGUUUCCCCACACCUAUGAGGUUGGGCCCGGGAAACAGUUGGGCUCAACGCUACUGAAGUGCAACAUGAAGGCCUUUAAGAACAAUACACAUGUAGAUGUUGUACUGCCAGAAGACUAAUCAAUGUUAUAUUGUAGAAGAAAUUCUGUUUUCUACUUUCAAAUAUAAAAAUAACAUAAAACCACACACUUUGUUUCCUUUUUAAA
RNA transcript from Myxocyprinus asiaticus (Chinese sucker), 1616 nucleotides. It is a transcript of the gene named malonyl-CoA-acyl carrier protein transacylase, mitochondrial-like, with no coding region annotated. The record is from RefSeq and is a predicted model, not a curated record. NCBI's taxonomy places the organism in Eukaryota, Metazoa, Chordata, Actinopteri, Cypriniformes, Catostomidae. The transcript has 4 exons.